Ovis aries (sheep) is the source of this 605-nucleotide long non-coding RNA. The record is from Ensembl. Lineage: Eukaryota; Metazoa; Chordata; Mammalia; Artiodactyla; Bovidae.
GGGAGGUUUGUGUUUCCACAGCCCAGUUUCAGUUCCCGUGUGCCCGUCACGGUGGGUGUAUCUCAUCUUCCUGUGUGUGGUUCUAGUGUUGAAGAUAGGUGUUGUCCAUAAAAGUGGCCCAUUUCAAAGCCAGUCACAGAAUUCACCUGCUGUUUAACUGGAAAAAACAAACCAGCCAGCAGUCUCUUCCACUGCUUCUGGAAAAAACUGCCUCCGUUAAGACGUACUGACAGAUGCUGUCUGGAUCUCGGUCACAACCCAUACCCGAUGGAAGCUGAAAGGUAGUGGUGGGACUGGAAUCUUAUACUGCAAAGAAGGACAAGGAGGCACCUCUGACCCCUCCCUGCAGCAGGCCUCUGAAGCAACCCAGGAAGUCCCAGAGAGAGGAAGAGAAAGGAUGAAGGAAGCAGAGUCAGGGUGGAGCAACACCAGGUCGGGAUCUGCUGUGUCUGUCUUUGAAGAAGAAGAGGCCACCAGCCAAGGAAUACAGGAGGCCUCUAGGAACUGGGAAAGCUGUUUAUCUUAAUUUGUAGACUUCAUUGUCUAACGAAGAGGUCCAGGACCACAGCACAAAGGAGGUAAACAAUGAGUGUCGUUGCAGGAGC